GGCGGCGCGGUGCGGCGCGCAUCUCGGAGCAGACCCGGCGGCAGCCGCUUCUGAGCGCGCCGGCCAGCACCUGCUGCCCCUCACUGCCCCGGCGCCGCUGCCAUGCGGCUGGCCCUGCUCUGGGCCCUGGGGCUCCUAGGUGCGGGCAGCCCUCUGCCCUCCCGACCGCUCCCAAAUACAGACCCUACAGGUGGCAGCAAGGAGCAGAAGGCCAAACCAGAGACGGCCUUGCGCAGACCCUUGGAGCCUGAAGUCCUCCAAGAGCACCACCUGGUUACCCUACCAGAGAUGCUUCAGACAAGUUUACCUGAGGCCCUGAGGGUCAAAUUGGAGCUGGAUGGUGAGAGUCACAUCCUGGAGCUGCUACAAGACAGGGAUCUGGUCCCAGGCCACACAACUGCCGUGUGGUACCAGCCUGAUGGUACUCGCGUGGUGAGCAAGGGACACACUCUGGAGAACUGCUGCUACCAGGGGAGAGUACGUGGCCACGAGGGCUCCUGGGUCUCCGUCUGUACCUGUUCAGGGCUCAGGGGCUUGAUCGCCCUGUCUCCAGAGCGAAGCUAUGCCCUGGAGCUGGGGCCUGGGGACCCUCAGGGGCCUCCUACUGUCUUCAAGAUCCAAGAUUUCCUCCUGCCAAAUCACACCUGCUCCCUGAGCUGGCAUGCGCCUAUGCCCAUUCCGGCUCCACCAGCACUCCCCCGGGGACAGGGACACAUUCGUAGGCAGAAACGAGAUGUGCUCACAGAAACCAAGAUCAUCGAGUUGGUGAUCGUAGCUGACCAUUCAGAGGUCAGGAGGUUCCCUGACUUCCAGCACCUGCUGAACCGCACCCUGGAGGUAGCCUACCUGCUAGACACAUUCUUCCAGCCCUUGAAUGUGCGGGUGGCGCUAGUGGGCCUGGAGGCCUGGACCCAGCAUGACCUGGUGGAGAUAAGCUCAAACCCAGCUGUCACGCUAAAAAACUUCCUCCACUGGCGCCGCGCAGACUUGCUGCCUCGACUGCCCCAUGACAGUGCCCAGCUGGUGACCGAUAUUUCUUUCUCUGGGCCCAUGGUGGGUAUGGCCAUUCAGAACUCCAUCUGUUCCCCGGACUUCUCAGGAGGUGUAAACAUGGACCACUCUACCAGCGUCCUCGGAGUUGCUUCCUCAAUAGCCCACGAGUUGGGCCACAGCCUGGGCCUGGGCCAUAGUCCGCCUGGGAGCAGUUGCCCCUGCCCAGGCCCGGCCCCUGCCAAGAGCUGCAUCAUGGAGUCCUCCACAGACUUCCUGCCAGGCCUGAACUUCAGCAACUGCAGCCGACAGGCCUUGGAGAAAGCCCUCCUUGCGGGAAUGGGCAGCUGCCUCUUUGAAAGGCUGUCCGGCCCGCUGUCUUUGGACACUUCCUGUGGAAACAUGUUUGUAGACCCCGGCGAGCAAUGUGACUGUGGCUUCUCAGAUGACUGCACCGAUCCCUGCUGCGAUCAUGAUACCUGCCAGCUGAGGCCAGGGGCACAAUGUGCAUCUGAUGGACCUUGUUGUGAAAACUGCCAGCUGCGCCCGGCUAGUUGGCAGUGCCGUCCUACCACAGGUGACUGUGACCUGCCUGAAUUCUGCCGAGGAAACAGUUCCCAGUGCCCCCCUGAUGUCAGCCUGGGGGACGGUGAGCCCUGUGCUGGUGGGCAGGCAGUGUGCAUGCAUGGCCGCUGUGCCUCCUAUGCCCAGCAGUGCCAGCUGCUGUGGGGACCUGGGGCCCAGCCCGCCGCACCACUUUGCCUCCACACAGCCAACACGCGGGGCAAUGCCUACGGAAGCUGUGGGCGCAGCCCCGAUGGAAGCUACAUGCCCUGUCCUCCUGGAGAUGCUAUUUGUGGACAGCUCCAGUGCCAGGGAGAAAGGACCCAGCCUCUUCUGGGCUCAGUCCAAGAUCUGCUCUGGGAGAUCCUGGAAGCCAAUGGGACACAGAUCAAUUGCAGCUGGGCGCACCUGGACCUGGGCAGUGAUGUGGCCCAGCCCCUCCUGACUCUGCCUGGCACCACCUGCGGCCCUGGCCUGGUGUGCAUCAGCCAGCAGUGCCAGCCUGUGGAACUCCUGGGAGCUCAGGAAUGUCGACGCAAGUGCCAUGGGCAUGGGGUCUGUGACAGCAACCAACAAUGCCACUGCGAGGAGGGCUGGGCGCCCCCUGAUUGCAUCACCCAGCUCCGAGCAGCCAGCUCCCUGACCACAGGCCUGCUCCUCAGCCUCCUACUGUUGCUGGUCCUAGUGCUACUUGGUGCCAGCUACUGGUACCGUGCCCACCUGCACCAGCGAUUCUGCCAGCUCAAAGGGUCCAGCUGCCAAUACAGGGCAGCCCAGUCUGGUCCCUCAGAACAGCCAGGACCCCCUCAGAGGACCCAGCUGAUGCUAAACACUAAGAGUCAUCAGCAGAGGUACAGACUGCAGCCUGGAGCAGGGAGGGGCUGUCACCUAGAGGAGGCUCUGCUGAGCUCUUAGCUGCCAAGCUGGUGACUCGGAGAGGUGGGUCUAUCCAUGCCCCUUGCCAUGACUGAUGCAGGGGACAAGGGGGUCAAAAGGUCUUCACUGUGCCAGGACCUGACAAGGCCAGGUCACCAUGUGUAGAAGGGCGGGUGAGUCCCCUGGCCUGAGCACUCGCUUUGAUGACAGGAGUGUGUGUUGGGGUGGCCUGCACGCCUGCCUCACCACUUGUCACCCCCUGCAUGCAGCUAGUUAAUGCAUGCCCUGCCCUCACUGCCCCUUGGGCCUUGGCCACCCCUGCCUGGCACCACUAACCCCUCUGUGCCCACGUCUGUGUCUCUGCUCCCCCUGCCCCUCUGUGCUGUCUGCUCCUCCUGCCCUCUCAGCAGGCUCUCAGCUUCCCGGCUCCCCCCUCCAGGCCGCUGCCACCUGACCCUGUGCCCAAGAGACUCCAGGCUGAGCUGGCUGAUCGACCCAAUCCCCCC
Molecule: RNA transcript, 2936 nt
Organism: Octodon degus (degu)
Lineage: Eukaryota; Metazoa; Chordata; Mammalia; Rodentia; Octodontidae
Gene: Adam15
Gene name: ADAM metallopeptidase domain 15
Exons: 21
Source: RefSeq, a predicted model, not a curated record